CAGAAUUUGGUGGGGAUUACAAUUUGAGAUGAGAUUUCGGUGGGAACACAGAGCCAAACCACAUCAACCAGUAAAUCUUGGGCUGAUUUGUUACACAGCGAUAGAUAACUUACUACGUCAGGAUCAUGGUUACUGGAAGACUGGUUUAUGUCCUGCUGGUCCUCCCCACCUUGCCUUGCUUGCUCUAUGGAAGGGGCUUCCAUUAUGGGAACUGCCUGGGGAGAGGCUCAUGGGGCAAGGAACUGAUGCCUCCAGCCAACAGCCAGCAAGGACCUGAGGGCUGCCCACUGCCAUGAGUGAGUCUGGAGGCAGAUUUUCCACCCUGAGAUGCCUGCAGCUCCAGCCAGCCCCUUGACUCUAGCCUUGAGGAACCUACAGCCAAAGCCACCCAGUUACCCUCACCCAGAUUCCUGACUGCUGGAAAUUGUGACAUCGUAAAUGUUUCUUGUUUUAAGCCAAUACAUGUUGGUGUAAUUUU
Long non-coding RNA from Homo sapiens (human), 478 nucleotides. Ensembl annotates it as PPP5 tetratricopeptide repeat domain containing 1, pseudogene. Its record names the gene PPP5D1P. The record is from Ensembl. Lineage: Eukaryota; Metazoa; Chordata; Mammalia; Primates; Hominidae.